This 242-nucleotide long non-coding RNA is filed under the name Elaeis guineensis (African oil palm). RNAcentral describes it as "long non-coding RNA (EGUI_LNC000582)". Lineage: Eukaryota; Viridiplantae; Streptophyta; Magnoliopsida; Arecales; Arecaceae. The record is from RNAcentral.
GGCGUAAAAUAGGAAUCUUUUGAGAUUGGUAUUCUCUUUCUUCCUUGCGCCAAAACUCUUCCACGCACAUCUAGCCUCAUGCAGCCCUUUUCUCCCUUCCAUUUGAUUUUGGGCGUUGGGUUCCCCAUGUACUCACACACACAUACAAAAUUGGGCCAACAGCCAGUGGUCCUUGGUCAUGGUCGGCGCGGGGCACGAGGCAUAUGAUCUUUCUGUUCUUUUGGACCUCACAACGACCUUGG